RNAcentral lists this ribosomal RNA (471 nucleotides) under uncultured bacterium. RNAcentral's name for it is "bacterial SSU rRNA". It matches the Rfam family "Bacterial small subunit ribosomal RNA", at positions 335 to 802 of the family's 1533-position model. The record is from RNAcentral.
ACUCCUACGGGAGGCAGCAGUGGGGAAUAUUGCACAAUGGGGGAAACCCUGAUGCAGCCAUGCCGCGUGUGUGAAGAAGGCCUUCGGGUUGUAAAGCACUUCCAGUAGGGAGGAAGGUAGUGUAGUUAACACCUGCAUUAUUUGACGUUACCUACAGAAGAAGCACCGGCUAACUCCGUGCCAGCAGCCGCGGUAAUACGGAGGGUGCGAGCGUUAAUCGGAAUUACUGGGCGUAAAGCGCAUGCAGGCGGCCUGUUAAGUCAGAUGUGAAAGCCCGGGGCUUAACCUCGGAAUUGCAUUUGAAACUGGCAGGCUAGAGUCUUGUAGAGGGGUUAGAAUUUCAGGUGUAGCGGUGAAAUGCGUAGAGAUCUGAAGGAAUACCAGUGGCGAAGGCGGCCCCUGGACAAAGACUGACGCUCAGAUGCGAAAGCGUGGGAGCAAACAGGAUUAGAUACCCCUGGUAGACUGUCA